UGUCACUUUUCUUAUCACUCAAAAAAUCUGUAAGGAUCUGAUUUUCUAGACUCCAAGCAGGGUCUAUUUUUUCUUUUAAAUAGUUGAUAAGACUGUUUGUUACUUAUUUUGAUAAUAAUUAGCUUCACCUAAAGAACAUAAAUAGUCUUUUUACUAUCAAGCAGUAGGAGGGUGAAUCUCUCUGAGACUACAUGGUGUGCUUCACUGCCGCGACACUGGAAGUAAAAAAUUUUAAUGACUCUGUUGCAAUGGCUGCCUUAAAGUGAGGACACCGAAGUAGUCACCGAUUUUUUCUCUAAAUAAGAAUUAUCUGGACACCUAUGAUCAAAUGUUAACCAAGAUCCGAAAGUAUGCCCAAGCCAAAGAGGAAGAAAAUUUAAUGCAGUAAGCAAAGAAAAAAAAGAAUGGAAAAAAAUGGCCCUUAGAAGAGGAUCAUGGAGAUCAACCAGAAAAUAGUUCCAGUCGAUCUCAGAAGAAUCCGAGGUCAAGAAGUCCGCCUCGAUAUUUUGAUACCUACACUCCUUUAUCUACUCUUUGUAUCUAAAUUCUGAUGAAAAUCAAAGACCAAGGAUAUCUUCAUCGAUCCAACCCUCUAAAGAUUCCAUCGGUGAAGAGAGAUAAAAGAAAAUACUAUCACUUUCACUGAGAC
This 649-nucleotide long non-coding RNA is filed under the name Elaeis guineensis (African oil palm). RNAcentral's name for it is "long non-coding RNA (EGUI_LNC002298)". The record is from RNAcentral. Lineage: Eukaryota; Viridiplantae; Streptophyta; Magnoliopsida; Arecales; Arecaceae.